This 468-nucleotide ribosomal RNA is filed under the name uncultured bacterium. Its description in RNAcentral is "partial 16S ribosomal RNA". It matches the Rfam family "Bacterial small subunit ribosomal RNA", at positions 28 to 507 of the family's 1533-position model. The record is from RNAcentral.
GACGAACGCUGGCGGCGUGCUUAACACAUGCAAGUCGAACGGAAAGGCCCUGCUUUUGUGGGGUGCUCGAGUGGCGAACGGGUGAGUAACACGUGAGUAACCUGCCCUUGACUUUGGGAUAACUUCAGGAAACUGGGGCUAAUACCGGAUAGGAGCUCCUGCUGCAUGGUGGGGGUUGGAAAGUUUCGGCGGUUGGGGAUGGACUCGCGGCUUAUCAGCUUGUUGGUGGGGUAGUGGCUUACCAAGGCUUUGACGGGUAGCCGGCCUGAGAGGGUGACCGGGCACAUUGGGACUGAGAUAGGGCCCAGACGGCUACGGGAGGCAGCAGUGGGGAAUAUGGCACAAUGGGCGGAAGCGUGAUGCAGAAACGCCGCGUGCGGGAUGACGGCCUUCGGGUUGUAAACCGCUUUCGCCUGUGACGAAGCGUGAGUGACGGUAAUGGGUAAAGAAGCACCGGCUAACUACGUG